This 418-nucleotide long non-coding RNA is filed under the name Felis catus (domestic cat). RNAcentral describes it as "lncRNA (ENSFCAG00000049635.1)". Lineage: Eukaryota; Metazoa; Chordata; Mammalia; Carnivora; Felidae. The record is from RNAcentral.
AUCCUGACUCUGCUUGGCCAAGCUUCUUACCUCUUCCUGGGUUUAGCUUGCACUUUCUUCUCAGGUGUCUCACCUCUGAGGUAGAAAAAACCCAUGGGUCUGUCUACUGCACGAAAUCUAAACCUGUAUCCUGCCCACUUUUCACGAUGACCCACUGUUGGAGCAAUAGAGAACUCUGCAAGCAGGGAAAUCACAGAAUAGAAGAAGAAAAAAUUAAAAGACAUCAUUGGAACUUACAGAAGAAGGGCCAUGUGAAGACACAAAGAGAAGAUUGCCAUGUACAAACCAAGGAGACAGGACUCUGAAGAAACCAAAACUGCCAAUGACUUGAUCUUGGGCUUCUAGCCUUCAGAACCGUGAUAAAUAUUUUUGUUUAAGCCAGAAAUAAAAAGACAUAAUUGAUUUUUUUAAAAAGCCA